UACUGUUGAUACGUCUUUUUCUCAAAAG
RNAcentral lists this non-coding RNA (28 nucleotides) under Cricetulus griseus (Chinese hamster). Lineage: Eukaryota; Metazoa; Chordata; Mammalia; Rodentia; Cricetidae. The record is from RNAcentral.